GACGAACGCUGGCGGCGUGCUUAACACAUGCAAGUCGAACGGAAAGGCCCUGCUUUUGUGGGGUGCUCGAGUGGCGAACGGGUGAGUAACACGUGAGUAACCUGCCCUUGACUUUGGGAUAACCUCAGGAAACUGGGGCUAAUACCGGAUAGGAGCUCCUGCUGCAUGGUGGGGGUUGGAAAGUUUCGGCGGUUGGGGAUGGACUCGCGGCUUAUCAGCUUGUUGGUGGGGUAGUGGCUUACCAAGGCUUUGACGGGUAGCCGGCCUGAGAGGGUGACCGGCCACAUUGGGACUGAGAUACGGCCCAGACUCCUACGGGAGGCAGCAGUGGGGAAUACUGCACAAUGGGCGGAAGCCUGAUGCAGCAACGCCGCGUGCGGGAUGACGGCCUUCGGGUUGUAAACCGCUUUCGCCUGUGACGAAGCGUGAGUGACGGUAAUGGGUAAAGAAGCACCGGCUAACUACGUGCCAGCAGCCGCGGUGAUACGUAGGGUGCGAGCGUUGUCCGGAUUUAUUGGGCGUAAAGGGCUCGUAGGUGGUUGAUCGCGUCGGAAGUGUAAUCUUGGGGCUUAACCCUGAGCGUGCUUUCGAUACGGGUUGACUUGAGGAAGGUAGGGGAGAAUGGAAUUCCUGGUGGAGCGGUGGAAUGCGCAGAUAUCAGGAGGAACACCAGUGGCGAAGGCGGUUCUCUGGGCCUUUCCUGACGCUGAGGAGCGAAAGCGUGGGGAGCGAACAGGCUUAGAUACCCUGGUAGUCCACGCUGUAAACGGUGGGUACUAGGUGUGGGGUCCAUUCCACGGGUUCCGUGCCGUAGCUAACGCUUUAAGUACCCCGCCUGGGGAGUACGGCCGCAAGGCUAAAACUCAAAGGAAUUGACGGGGCCCCGCACAAGCGGCGGAGCAUGCGGAUUAAUUCGAUGCAACGCGUAGAACCUUACCUGGGUUUGACAUGGAUCGGGAGUGCUCAGAGAUGGGUGUGCCUCUUUUGGGGUCGGUUCACAGGUGGUGCAUGGCUGUCGUCAGCUCGUGUCGUGAGAUGUUGGGUUAAGUCCCGCAACGAGCGCAACCCUUGUUCACUGUUGCCAGCACGUUAUGGUGGGGACUCAGUGGAGACCGCCGGGGUCAACUCGGAGGAAGGUGGGGAUGACGUCAAGUCAUCAUGCCCCUUAUGUCCAGGGCUUCACGCAUGCUACAAUGGCUGGUACAGAGAGUGGCGAGCCUGUGAGGGUGAGCGAAUCUCGGAAAGUCGGUCUCAGUUCGGAUUGGGGUCUGCAACUCGACCUCAUGAAGUCGGAGUCGCUAGUAAUCGCAGAUCAGCAACGCUGCGGUGAAUACGUUCCCGGGGCU
RNAcentral lists this ribosomal RNA (1346 nucleotides) under uncultured bacterium. Its description in RNAcentral is "partial 16S ribosomal RNA". It matches the Rfam family "Bacterial small subunit ribosomal RNA", at positions 28 to 1381 of the family's 1533-position model. The record is from RNAcentral.